This 253-nucleotide ribosomal RNA is filed under the name uncultured bacterium. Its description in RNAcentral is "partial 16S ribosomal RNA". It matches the Rfam family "Bacterial small subunit ribosomal RNA", at positions 524 to 776 of the family's 1533-position model. The record is from RNAcentral.
UACGUAGGGGGCUAGCGUUGUCCGGAAUCAUUGGGCGUAAAGCGCGUGUAGGCGGCCCGGUAAGUCCGCUGUGAAAGUCGGGGGCUCAACCCUCGGAAGCCGGUGGAUACUGUCGGGCUAGAGUGCGGAAGAGGCGAGUGGAAUUCCUGGUGUAGCGGUGAAAUGCGCAGAUAUCAGGAGGAACACCUAUUGCGAAGGCAGCUCGCUGGGACGUAACUGACGCUGAGACGCGAAAGCGUGGGGAGCAAACAGG